Molecule: ribosomal RNA, 492 nt
Filed under: Lactococcus lactis subsp. lactis
Lineage: Bacteria; Bacillati; Bacillota; Bacilli; Lactobacillales; Streptococcaceae
Description: bacterial SSU rRNA
Rfam family: Bacterial small subunit ribosomal RNA
Source: RNAcentral
AGAGUUUGUACCUGGCUCAGGACGAACGCUGGCGGCGUGCCUAAUACAUGCAAGUUGAGCGCUGAAGGUUGGUACUUGUACCGACUGGAUGAGCAGCGAACGGGUGAGUAACGCGUGGGGAAUCUGCCUUUGAGCGGGGGACAACAUUUGGAAACGAAUGCUAAUACCGCAUAAAAACUUUAAACACAAGUUUUAAGUUUGAAAGAUGCAAUUGCAUCACUCAAAGAUGAUCCCGCGUUGUAUUAGCUAGUUGGUGAGGUAAAGGCUCACCAAGGCGAUGAUACAUAGCCGACCUGAGAGGGUGAUCGGCCACAUUGGGACUGAGACACGGCCCAAACUCCUACGGGAGGCAGCAGUAGGGAAUCUUCGGCAAUGGACGAAAGUCUGACCGAGCAACGCCGCGUGAGUGAAGAAGGUUUUCGGAUCGUAAAACUCUGUUGGUAGAGAAGAACGUUGGUGAGAGUGGAAAGCUCAUCAAGUGACGGUAACUAC